Molecule: non-coding RNA, 31 nt
Filed under: Mus musculus (house mouse)
Lineage: Eukaryota; Metazoa; Chordata; Mammalia; Rodentia; Muridae
Source: RNAcentral
UGGGAACAAAUGACUCCAUAAACCAGAGGGC